Molecule: long non-coding RNA, 317 nt
Filed under: Vitis vinifera (wine grape)
Lineage: Eukaryota; Viridiplantae; Streptophyta; Magnoliopsida; Vitales; Vitaceae
Description: long non-coding RNA (VVIN_LNC000826)
Source: RNAcentral
UCAGUCUUGUCAUGUAGAGUCGCAGCUCCUAGCAUUCCUAUUCAGUGGCAUUGCGUGUCUCACCUUCAUUGGAUUUACACUUAUUCUCGUCCUCCUCACUUCGUUACCUUGUGUUUAUCGUGUAUUCAUCGUGUAGUCCACAUAGGGCAGUCUCCUUUAGACGCAUUCUUGUUCGUACUCCAAGGUGGUUCGACCGAGUACUCACCUUUGACAUUGAUUUUUUGGGUCACUUUUGGAGACAUUUUAGAAGGAGCCUGGAUCCUUAGUGUGGCCGCAGAGGCAUUUUGUGACAUCUUUCUCUUUCAGGAUUAGAGCCU